GUGGGGAAUUUUGGACAAUGGGGGCAACCCUGAUCCAGCCAUGCCGCGUGAGUGAAGAAGGCCUUCGGGUUGUAAAGCUCUUUCGGCCGGAACGAAAUCGGCGGGGUGAAUAAUCCCGCUGGAUGACGGUACCGGAAGAAGAAGCACCGGCUAACUACGUGCCAGCAGCCGCGGUAAUACGUAGGGUGCGAGCGUUAAUCGGAAUUACUGGGCGUAAAGCGUGCGCAGGCGGCCUCUUAAGACAGGUGUGAAAUCCCCGAGCUUAACUUGGGAAUGGCGCUUGUGACUGGGGGGCUUGGAGUGCGGAAGAGGGAGAUGGAAUUCCUGGUGUAGCAGUGAAAUGCGUAGAGAUCAGGAGGAACACCGAUGGCGAAGGCAGUCUCCUGGGCCAGCACUGACGCUCAUGCACGAAAGCGUGGGGAGCAAACAGGAUUAGAAACCCUAGUAGUCC
Molecule: ribosomal RNA, 451 nt
Filed under: uncultured bacterium
Lineage: Bacteria
Description: bacterial SSU rRNA
Rfam family: Bacterial small subunit ribosomal RNA
Source: RNAcentral